UACGGAGGGGGCAAGCGUUAAUCGGAAUUACUGGGCGUAAAGCGCGCGUAGGUGGCUUGAUAAGCCGGUUGUGAAAGCCCCGGGCUCAACCUGGGAACGGCAUCCGGAACUGGCAGGCUAGAGUCUUGUAGAGGGGGGUAGAAUUCCAGGUGUAGCGGUGAAAUGCGUAGAGAUCUGGAGGAAUACCGGUGGCGAAGGCGGCCUUCUGGUCUGACACUGACGCUGAGGCGCGAAAGCGCGGGUAGCAAACAGG
RNAcentral lists this unclassified non-coding RNA (253 nucleotides) under uncultured Halomonadaceae bacterium. Its description in RNAcentral is "contains 16S-23S intergenic spacer region". It matches the Rfam family "Bacterial small subunit ribosomal RNA", at positions 524 to 776 of the family's 1533-position model. Lineage: Bacteria; Pseudomonadati; Pseudomonadota; Gammaproteobacteria; Oceanospirillales; Halomonadaceae. The record is from RNAcentral.